AUUGAACGCUGGCGGCAUGCUUUACACAUGCAAGUCGAACGGUAACAGGCCGCAAGGUGCUGACGAGUGGCGAACGGGUGCGUAAUGCGUCGGAACGUGCCCAGUCGUGGGGGAUAACUACUCGAAAGAGUAGCUAAUACCGCAUACGAUCUAUGGAUGAAAGCGGGGGACCGUAAGGCCUCGCGCGAUUGGAGCGGCCGAUGUCAGAUUAGGUAGUUGGUGGGGUAAAGGCUCACCAAGCCAACGAUCUGUAGCUGGUCUGAGAGGACGACCAGCCACACUGGGACUGAGACACGGCCCAGACUCCUACGGGAGGCAGCAGUGGGGAAUUUUGGACAAUGGGCGCAAGCCUGAUCCAGCAAUGCCGCGUGCAGGAAGAAGGCCUUCGGGUUGUAAACUGCUUUUGUACGGAACGAAACGGCUCUGGUUAAUACCCGGGGCUAAUGACGGUACCGUAAGAAUAAGCACCGGCUAACUACGU
Molecule: ribosomal RNA, 481 nt
Filed under: uncultured bacterium
Lineage: Bacteria
Description: partial 16S ribosomal RNA
Rfam family: Bacterial small subunit ribosomal RNA
Source: RNAcentral